Maylandia zebra (zebra mbuna) is the source of this 852-nucleotide long non-coding RNA. RefSeq lists it as uncharacterized. The record is from RefSeq and is a predicted model, not a curated record. Lineage: Eukaryota; Metazoa; Chordata; Actinopteri; Cichliformes; Cichlidae.
UUAAAAAGAUUAUGUGCUCUAUUUCCAGACUAUCAGAAUCAUGCUCGCACGUUGGAGCUGUUCUUUUUGCAGUUGAAGCUGGGGUGAAAAUGAGAGCGACAUGCACAUCAGAGCAGUGCAAGUGGCUGAUGCCAUCUCAUGUUAAAAAGAUUCCUGCUUGCCCAGUAACUCUGAUUGACUUCUCUUCAGCAAAGUCAAAAAAACGAAAGCUUGAGUGUUCCAUUGAUGGCUGCACAAGUACACAAAAGUUAUGGAUGCAAACAUGAAGCACAAGCCAGAGGAGCAUAUGAGAAGCUUAUGAGCCAGGAGCAUGCAGGCUUCUCAUGUAUGGACAGCGGUCUCUGGCUGAACCCCAAGUGGCCAUACAUGGGGUCCUCCCCUGAUGGGAUAGUCACUUGUGACUGUCAUGGAACUGGCAUCUGCGAGAUUAAGUGCCCACACUCUCAGAAAGAUGCGGUCAACCUGCGCAUGCGUGCUGGGGAGAAGGGCUUCUGCCUCAUCAGUGACGGGGAUAAUGUCACACUGGACCCAACUCAUGACUACUAUUACCAAAUUCAGGCACAGCUUCACAUUGCAAAUGCAGAGUACUGUGACUUUGUUGUGUGGAACCGCAAUGACAUAUUUGUUGAAAGGAUUUUGCCUGACCUUGAGUUUUGGGAUGAUGCGAUUCCUAAAGUUGAGUGUUUUUUUAGAAACAGUAUACUCCCAGAAAUACUGGGACAGCAAGUUACAAACAUACAUGUGUAAUGUGAUAAAAGGACGACAACAUAAUGACAUUUUGAAUAUUGUUAUGACCUGAUGGUAGUCAUUAUGAGUUCUGGCUAUUGUAUUUGCUCUGACGUAGCAUUAGAG